UGUGAAACAGAAGUUCCGUUUAUGGCUGAA
RNAcentral lists this non-coding RNA (30 nucleotides) under Mus musculus (house mouse). Lineage: Eukaryota; Metazoa; Chordata; Mammalia; Rodentia; Muridae. The record is from RNAcentral.